Molecule: long non-coding RNA, 1323 nt
Organism: Humulus lupulus (European hop)
Lineage: Eukaryota; Viridiplantae; Streptophyta; Magnoliopsida; Rosales; Cannabaceae
Exons: 5
Source: RefSeq, a predicted model, not a curated record
UUAAUUAUGUAUUUGGAAGGAAAAAAAAAUAGCAGCACCAUUAAUGGGCGCGUAGUCCAACAAGUUUCCAAAAACUAAAAUCAUUUUUAAUUUGAUAAAAGCUUUGCAAGAGAGAUCCAGAACCUCACACAGAGAUAACAUCUCAUUUUCGUCUCUCUCUGAAUCUCGCCCUUGCUCCGCCGGCGUCUCCUCUCCUCCGCUUUCUCCGAUCUCCUCCGUGGUGUUCGUUUUUUUGGGUGAAUUCUGUUUUGCUCUUGCUUCCAAGUCCUUGUAAGGAUUCGUCCUUUUCUCUCACACAGUCUCUUUGCGCUAGCUGUGAUUUUAGAAAAAGGAAUGAAGAGACAAUACAAUCAUGUUGAAUGAAGAGGUAUGUUGAUGGUUUCUACUUUCUUGCAGUGGCAUUGCAAUUAUUAAUUACUCAUUGUCAAAUGUAAGAGCUUUAAUGUUAUAAUUUCUAUUUAAACCAAAUGUAAUAUGUGGAAUAUGAUUGCAAUUGCCAAGUCAACUUUUUGUUCUGUUUUCCUGAAGUAAUUAGGUCAGUUCUGCCUAAGUCUCUCUAUAUACCUUUAGGCCUGAUCAUUGUAGGGUUGAUAGAAAACUUCUCAUCAUUGUAUGUGCUUGUAUUGUAAGUGACUGAGGUAGAGGUUGAAGAGACUUUCUUGAGUGUCUUGAGUAUGUAAUCUCAUCUUUGUCAAUGGAUGUAGGAUUAACACGAUUUGGUUAAGUCCGAACCAAGUAAACUAGUGUUUUCUGGUGUUUGAAUAAAUUCCUAUUAGCUGCCUUGUCAUUUGAUAUUGUUUGUUAUGUUCUGUGUGUCUCUAAUCUGAUUUUGCAGGGGAUAUUAACACAACACAAUACGUUUGCACUUACAUUGGAAUUAAGAAUCUGUGUGUUUCUCACAUUAGCCAAGUUGCAGGAAAGAUCUUUCUGCUGUCUGUUAAUUGUAGAUGAUUUUGUUUAUUAUCACCCUGCUUUAAGGGAUUUAGAAUGAACUAAUUAAGAAUCUUUGAGAUUCCAAGCCCUUUCAAUACCGAGUGUGAGAGGUAUAUUUAAACACAUUUGGAGAUUUUACAAAAGGCAAUCAUUCUUGAUCCAAAAUGUACGAGAUACUUGUACAUAAGGGAAAGUGAAGACCUUUUAGUCCAUUUUUUUUAUUGAGUUAAAUACCCCAAGUGUUGUGGUAACAUUUUUAGUUGGUGUAGUAUUUGGUGUAUGGAUCUUUAAAUUAAUAUUUGUAAAAUUAUAUGAAUUUUUUAUCUACAAUUUUAUCUAACUGUAAUAUUUAUUAAAUUAUAAUUUCAAGGCACUAUAUAUAUAUAUUAA